ACUUAAAUAGCUUAUUUAGAGUUUAAUAUUGAAGAUAUUAAGGAGAUUGUUAAAGUCUUUAAGUA
RNAcentral lists this transfer RNA (65 nucleotides) under Davidina armandi. RNAcentral describes it as "tRNA-Phe". Lineage: Eukaryota; Metazoa; Arthropoda; Insecta; Lepidoptera; Nymphalidae. The record is from RNAcentral.